This 79-nucleotide transfer RNA is filed under the name bacterium. RNAcentral describes it as "tRNA-Ile". It matches the Rfam family "tRNA". From Rfam's summary of the family: Transfer RNA (tRNA) molecules are approximately 80 nucleotides in length. Their secondary structure includes four short double-helical elements and three loops (D, anti-codon, and T loops). Further hydrogen bonds mediate the characteristic L-shaped molecular structure. tRNAs have two regions of fundamental functional importance: the anti-codon, which is responsible for specific mRNA codon recognition, and the 3' end, to which the tRNAs corresponding amino acid is attached (by aminoacyl-tRNA synthetases). tRNAs cope with the degeneracy of the genetic code in two manners: having more than one tRNA (with a specific anti-codon) for a particular amino acid; and 'wobble' base-pairing, i.e. permitting non-standard base-pairing at the 3rd anti-codon position. The record is from RNAcentral.
AGCCGUGUAGCUCAGUCUGGUGAGAGCAGUUCCCUGAUAAGGAAAAGGUUCGGUGGUUCAAAUCCACUCACGGCUACCA